Molecule: unclassified non-coding RNA, 243 nt
Filed under: uncultured fungus
Lineage: Eukaryota; Fungi
Description: partial contains 5.8S ribosomal RNA, internal transcribed spacer 2, and large subunit ribosomal RNA
Rfam family: 5.8S ribosomal RNA (bases 1-52)
Source: RNAcentral
AACGCACAUUGCGCCCGCCAGUAUUCUGGCGGGCAUGCCUGUUCGAGCGUCAUUUCAACCCUCAAGCUUUGCUUGGUGUUGGGAACCUACUAGUUUUGUAGGUCCUGAAAAAUAGUGGCAGGCUCGCUAUAACUCCGAGCGCAGUAGCACUAUCUCGCUUUGGAUGUUUGGUCGGCACUAGCCAUAAAACCCCAUCUUCUUAUAGUUGACCUCGGAUCAGGUAGGAAUACCCGCUGAACUUAA